This 253-nucleotide ribosomal RNA is filed under the name uncultured bacterium. RNAcentral's name for it is "partial 16S ribosomal RNA". It matches the Rfam family "Bacterial small subunit ribosomal RNA", at positions 524 to 776 of the family's 1533-position model. The record is from RNAcentral.
UACGGAGGGUGCAAGCGUUAUCCGGAUUUACUGGGCUUAAAGGGUGCGUAGGCGGAUUUGUAAGCCAGUGGUGAAAUCUCCGAGCUUAACUCGGAAACUGCCAUUGAUACUAUAAGUCUUGAAUUAUCUGGAGGUAAGCGGAAUAUGUCAUGUAGCGGUGAAAUGCUUAGAUAUGACAUAGAACACCAAUUGCGAAGGCAGCUUACUACGGAUCGAUUGACACUCAGGCACGAAUGCGUGGGGAUCAAACAGG